AACAGCAGAAAAUUGAUUAAAUAUUACUCAUAGUAUCCUAAAAAUAGAGAGAUAGAGAGAGAGAGAUGGGAAGAUACAAUGACAGGAGCGGCGGCGGCGGCAGCAGGAGGAGGAGAAGUUACAGUCCUCGACGCUCACCACCACCACAACCACGCAGUCGCCGUUACGAUGACCAUCGCCAGCGGCAUCGCUCACCCCCUGCUCCUUCUGGACUCCUCGUUCGCAAUAUCUCUCUUGAUUCUAGGCCAGAAGAUCUUAGGAUCCCUUUUGAACGUUUUGGGCCGGUGAAGGAUGUCUAUCUUCCAAAGAACUAUUAUACUGGUGAGCCACGGGGCUUUGGUUUUGUAAAGUUCCGUAACCCUGAAGAUGCAUCAGAAGCUAAACAUCAGCUAAAUCAUUGUGUGCUUGGGGGGCAUGAGAUAACUAUUGUUUAUGCUGAAGAAAAUAGGAAGACUCCUCGUGAAAUGCGGACAACUACACAGACAAGUAGGCGUUAUGGCGGAAGCUCUGGUAGGCAGACCCCUCCUAGAUCAUCUAGGCGUCGGUCAUUUUCACGCUCUUUAUCACCGACCAGACAUGACUCCAGGGAUAGAGAUCAUAGAGGCAGGGAUCUGGUUUUGCCACCACGUUCAAGAUCUCCUUCAUUUUCUGCAUCACCUCAUGAUGCUAGAACAUACAAGACAAGACAUUACUCAAAUAGUCCUGGGAGAAAUGGUAAAGGUGCUGUAGACAAGAUGUAUCGUGGUUCAGAUCAGACAGUUCCUCACCAACGUUCUCAUGACAAACGAGCCACACAAGACUUGAAGGUAGCGGUUGCAAAUGAGGAUGAUGGGCAUUCAAGGUCCUUAUCUAGGUGACCUUGACCAGGUCCCCACCUUAUCAGCCAGCAAAUUGGCCCUUUCAGGCUAUGUUCUCCGUUCUAGUCUAUUAGACUUCAUUUUGUUUUGAGCUAUUGAGCCACCAAUUUUUUUCAUGCCUCUCCUGAUAUGUGCGUCCACCUGCGUCUGACGCCCCGCCAAAAAAAGAAGCUAGUAGCACUGCUGCGUCCAAGGCCCGCGUCCGAGGGGAUAAUGCUCUUGAAAGAAAGAUGUGACCAAAUUUUCCUGUUCAAUAGUUGUUUAAAUCCUUGUCUGGUCUUGUCUUUUGGUUUAAUUAAACUUUUUUAUGCCUUGGAGUUGUAAUAUUAUUACUUUAAUUUUUGGGAACAUUAACAGUUCACUUAUGCAGCAUUCUAAUUUGCUUCA
Molecule: RNA transcript, 1244 nt
Organism: Erigeron canadensis
Lineage: Eukaryota; Viridiplantae; Streptophyta; Magnoliopsida; Asterales; Asteraceae
Gene name: serine/arginine-rich SC35-like splicing factor SCL28
Exons: 9
Source: RefSeq, a predicted model, not a curated record